CGUGUAGGCGGUCCGCUAAGUCUGAUGUGAAAGCCCGGGGCUCACCCCCGGAAGUGCAUUGGAAACUGGCGGACUCGAGUCCCGGAGAGGAGGGUGGAAUUCCUGGUGUAGCGGUUAAAUGCGUAGAUAUCAGGAGGAACACCGGUGGCGAAGGCGGCCCUCUGGACGGUGACUGACGCUGAGACGCGAAAGCGUGGGGAGCAAACA
Molecule: ribosomal RNA, 207 nt
Filed under: uncultured bacterium
Lineage: Bacteria
Description: partial 16S ribosomal RNA
Rfam family: Bacterial small subunit ribosomal RNA
Source: RNAcentral